AGUAGCCCGGAGAUGGACACUGAGAAAAGGGUCUAGGUCCUACGGGGCGCAGCAGGCGCGAAACCUUCGCAAUGUGCGAAAGCAUGACGAGGUUACUCCGAGUGUCACCCGCUGAGGGUGACUUUUACUAGGCAUAAAUUACCUAGAGAAUAAGGGGAGGGCAAGUCUGGUGUCAGCCGCCGCGGUAAUACCAGCUCCCCGAGUGGUUGGGACGUUUAUUGGGCCUAAAGCAUCCGUAGCCGGUCUUGUAGGUCUUCUGUUAAAUUCAAUAGCUCAACUAUUGAGCUGCAGGAGAUACCGCAGGACUAGGAGGCGGGGGAGGUGGACGGUACUCAAUGGGUAGGGGUAAAAUCCUUUGAUCCAUUGAAGACCACCAGUGGCGAAGGCGGUCCACCACAACGCGCUCGACGGUGAGGGAUGAAAGCUGGGGGAGCGAACCGGAUUAGAUACCCGGGUAGUCCCAGCUGUAAACGAUGUGAGCUAGGUGAUGGGGUGGCUACGGGCCAUCCCAGUGCCCCAGGGAAGCCGUUAAGCUCACCGCCUGGG
RNAcentral lists this ribosomal RNA (546 nucleotides) under uncultured archaeon. RNAcentral describes it as "bacterial SSU rRNA". It matches the Rfam family "Archaeal small subunit ribosomal RNA", at positions 284 to 832 of the family's 1478-position model. The record is from RNAcentral.